Molecule: non-coding RNA, 908 nt
Filed under: Eleutherodactylus rivularis
Lineage: Eukaryota; Metazoa; Chordata; Amphibia; Anura; Eleutherodactylidae
Description: partial 12S ribosomal RNA
Rfam family: Bacterial small subunit ribosomal RNA
Source: RNAcentral
CACAAGGGUUUGGUCCUGGCCCUGUGAUCAAUUAUUACUUAAACUACACAUGCAAGUCUCCGCACCCCUGUGAAAAAGCCCAUUGAUCCUGAUGGAUCGAGGGAGCGGGUAUCAGGCACGACCAUCAGCCCAAGACACCUAGCCACGCCACACCCACAAGGGAUUACAGCAGUGACUAAUAUUGAACAUUAACGACAGCUUGAUUCAGUUAUAGUAAGCAGAGCCGGCAAAUUUGGUGCCAGCCGCCGCGGAUACACCGGGGACUCAAAUUGAUCACCACCGACGUAAAGCGUGAUUAAAGACAUUUUACAAAUAGAGCUGAAUCUAGAUUAGACCGUGAAACACUUAUCUGAGAGAAAUGCACAACGAAAGUCGCUCUACUUAUAUCAACUUGAACACACGAAAGCAGAAAUACAAACUGGGAUUAGAUACCCCACUAUGCCUGAUCGUAAACUUUAACUUACACCUUAAUCGUCAGGGGAUUACAAGCUAAGCUUAAAACCCAAAGGACUUGACGGUACCCCAUAUCCCCCUAGAGGAGCCUGUCCUGUAAUCGAUAAUCCCCGCUUAACCUUACCGCAUCUGGCUUAUCAGCCUGUAUACUUCCGUCGUAAGCCCACCGCAUGAACGAAACCUAGUCGGCCCAAUGUCCACACAUAAAUGUGUUUAAAUAACAAUACGUCAGGUCAAGGUGCAGCUAAUGAUGUGGGAGAGAUGGGCUACACUUUUUAACCUAAAAGAUACGGAAAGCAAAAUGAAACUAUGUUAGAAGGUGGAUCUAGAAGUAAAAGAGAGAUAUGAGGUCUCUUUGAAUUCGGGCACUGGGGUGUGUACACACCGCCCGUCACCCUCUUCAAAAUACUUCUAUUAGUUCUUAACUAACAAUUAAAAUAGAGAAGAGGUAAGUC